Acanthosepion pharaonis is the source of this 102-nucleotide non-coding RNA. The record is from the annotation of a GenBank genome assembly. Lineage: Eukaryota; Metazoa; Mollusca; Cephalopoda; Sepiida; Sepiidae.
AUCGUUGAAGCACUGGUUCCUGUAUGAUCGCCGAAGUUAAGCAACGUCGAGCCUGGAUAGUAACUGGAUGGGUGACCGCUUGGGAAUAUCAGAUGCUGUAAG